UGUGUGUUAGUGGAAGCGUCUGGAAAGGCGCGCGAUACAGGGUGACAGCCCCGUACACAAAAAUGCACAUGCUGUGAGCUCGAUGAGUAGGGCGGGACACGUGGUAUCCUGUCUGAAUAUGGGGGGACCAUCCUCCAAGGCUAAAUACUCCUGACUGACCGAUAGUGAACCAGUACCGUGAGGGAAAGGCGAAAAGAACCCCGGCGAGGGGAGUGAAAAAGAACCUGAAACCGUGUACGUACAAGCAGUGGGAGCACGCUUAGGCGUGUGACUGCGUACCUUUUGUAUAAUGGGUCAGCGACUUAUAUUCUGUAGCAAGGUUAACCGAAUAGGGGAGCCGAAGGGAAACCGAGUCUUAACUGGGCGUUAAGUUGCAGGGUAUAGACCCGAAACCCGGUGAUCUAGCCAUGGGCAGGUUGAAGGUUGGGUAACACUAACUGGAGGACCGAACCGACUAAUGUUGAAAAAUUAGCGGAUGACUUGUGGCUGGGGGUGAAAGGCCAAUCAAACCGGGAGAUAGCUGGUUCUCCCCGAAAGCUAUUUAGGUAGCGCCUCGUGAAUUCAUCUCCGGGGGUAGAGCACUGUUUCGGCAAGGGGGUCAUCCCGACUUACCAACCCGAUGCAAACUGCGAAUACCGGAGAAUGUUAUCACGGGAGACACACGGCGGGUGCUAACGUCCGUCGUGAAGAGGGAAACAACCCAGACCGCCAGCUAAGGUCCCAAAGUCAUGGUUAAGUGGGAAACGAUGUGGGAAGGCCCAGACAGCCAGGAUGUUGGCUUAGAAGCAGCCAUCAUUUAAAGAAAGCGUAAUAGCUCACUGGUCGAGUCGGCCUGCGCGGAAGAUGUAACGGGGCUAAACCAUGCACCGAAGCUGCGGCAGCGACGCUGAUGCGUUGUUGGGUAGGGGAGCGUUCUGUAAGCCUGCGAAGGUGUGCUGUGAGGCAUGCUGGAGGUAUCAGAAGUGCGAAUGCUGACAUAAGUAACGAUAAAGCGGGUGAAAAGCCCGCUCGCCGGAAGACCAAGGGUUCCUGUCCAACGUUAAUCGGGGCAGGGUGAGUCGACCCCUAAGGCGAGGCCGAAAGGCGUAGUCGAUGGGAAACAGGUUAAUAUUCCUGUACUUGGUGUUACUGCGAAGGGGGGACGGAGAAGGCUAUGUUGGCCGGGCGACGGUUGUCCCGGUU
Molecule: ribosomal RNA, 1182 nt
Filed under: Escherichia coli
Lineage: Bacteria; Pseudomonadati; Pseudomonadota; Gammaproteobacteria; Enterobacterales; Enterobacteriaceae
Description: partial 23S ribosomal RNA
Rfam family: Bacterial large subunit ribosomal RNA
Source: RNAcentral